AGCAGAGGAAAAGGAACAAACAUGGAUUCCCCCAGUAACUGCGAGUGAAAAGGGAUAAGCCCAGCGCUAAAGGUUUCCGUCUGUUUGGGCGGCGACCGGUGUAGCGUAUAGAACUUUCGUUUGAUAACUAUUGGCUGGUCUAAGUUUUGCUGGAAAGCGGCGGCAUAGACGGUUUUACCCCUGUAGGGUCGGCUGUAGUUGUUAAGUGGUUGUUCUGGGAGUCGGGUUGUUUGGUAACGCAGCCCAAAGCGGGUGGUAAACUUCACCUAAGGCUAAAUAUGACCGCGAAUCCGAUAGAAAACAAGUACCGUGAGGGAAAGUUGAAAAGUACUUUGAAAAGAGAGUGCAAGAGAACGUGAAACCGGUGUAAUGGAAGCAGAUGGAGUUGACGUAUCUGGUGCGUAUUCAGUUGUUGGUUGUUGCAAUUGCUGCAUUUGUUAUUCCGCAAGGUUGACGGUGUGGUAUUGUUGUGAUUUCUGGUGAUGCAUUUACGUACGGAGUGCGCCGAGUUGUGUGGCGGUGCCGAUCUAAGCAGAUUAAGAGGACAUGGCUUCGGUUGUGAAACCUUGGUUUGUGGAGGUUGGAUGCUGCUGCAUAGCUUUGUAGAGGUACGGGUUUUUCGCGGAUGCGGAUGUCGGUUCGUUUAGCUUGUGUUGCACGCAUGCGUGCUGCGCUUGAUGAGCGGGUCGGUGUUUGUAUUUGCUCUGUAUCCUUCUCGGUGUAUAGUCAAUGACCCAUUUGACCCGUCUUGAAACACGGACCAAGGAGUUUAUGGUAUACGCGAGUCAUUGGGCUUKGAAACCCAAAGGCGUAAUGAAAGUGAGACCUUACUGGUUUUAAUGCGAUCGGUUGUUGUUUCGACGGCCGCCGAGCAGCAUUGCCCCGUUUCGAGGACUUGUCCUGUUGCGGAGGUUGAGCGUAUGCUAUGAGACCCGAAAGAUGGUGAACUAUGCCUGAACAGGAUGAAGCCAGAGGAAACUCUGGUGGAAGUCCGAAGCGGUUCUGACGUGCAAAUCGAUCGUCUGAUUUUGGUAUAGGGGCGCAAGACUAAUCGAACCAUCUAGUAGCUGGUUUCCUCCGAAGU
RNAcentral lists this ribosomal RNA (1084 nucleotides) under Bursaphelenchus sp. H591. RNAcentral describes it as "partial large subunit ribosomal RNA". Lineage: Eukaryota; Metazoa; Nematoda; Chromadorea; Rhabditida; Aphelenchoididae. The record is from RNAcentral.